This 428-nucleotide ribosomal RNA is filed under the name uncultured bacterium. RNAcentral describes it as "partial 16S ribosomal RNA". It matches the Rfam family "Bacterial small subunit ribosomal RNA", at positions 354 to 796 of the family's 1533-position model. The record is from RNAcentral.
GUAGGGAAUAUUGCGCAAUGGGGGAAACCCUGACGCAGCGACGCCGCGUGAGUGAUGAAGGCCUUCGGGUCGUAAAGCUCUGUUGCAGGGGGAUAAAAAAAUGAAGGUACCCUGUGAGGAAGGAUCGGCUAACUUCGUGCCAGCAGCCGCGGUAAGACGAGGGAUCCUAGCGUUGCUCGGAAUCAUUGGGCGUAAAGAGGGCGUAGGUGGCUUGGUAAGUCAGGUGUGAAAGCCCAGGGCUCAACCCUGGAAGUGCAUUUGAUACUGCUGAGCUUGAGUGUCGGAGAGGUUACCGGAAUACCUGGUGUAGUGGUGAAAUACGUAGAUAUCAGGUGGAACACCGGAGGCGAAGGCGGGUAACUGGACGAACACUGACACUGAGGCCCGAAAGCGUGGGGAUCAAACAGGAUUAGAAACCCCUGUAGUCC